This 221-nucleotide unclassified non-coding RNA is filed under the name uncultured Nocardiaceae bacterium. RNAcentral's name for it is "contains 16S-23S intergenic spacer region". Lineage: Bacteria; Bacillati; Actinomycetota; Actinomycetes; Mycobacteriales; Nocardiaceae. The record is from RNAcentral.
UCCGAGUUGACCCCGGCAGUCUCCUGCGAGUCCCCGCCAUUACGCGCUGGCAACACAGGACAAGGGUUGCGCUCGUUGCGGGACUUAACCCAACAUCUCACGACACGAGCUGACGACAGCCAUGCACCACCUGUAUACCGACCACAAGGGGGGCCGUAUCUCUACGGCUUUCCGGUAUAUGUCAAACCCAGGUAAGGUGGGGAUGACGUGUCCUUGAUAGG